This 296-nucleotide long non-coding RNA is filed under the name Salvia miltiorrhiza (redroot sage). Its description in RNAcentral is "long non-coding RNA (SMIL_LNC009815)". The record is from RNAcentral. Lineage: Eukaryota; Viridiplantae; Streptophyta; Magnoliopsida; Lamiales; Lamiaceae.
CCAAAAGUGGCGCAUGAAAGUCCACAAAAUACCAUCAAAAUAUGGCAGCCUUCAUUGAUUCAUUUUAGUCAAACAUGGCAGCCCAUAAUUCAAAAUUCAUCCGCCCCUCUUCUAGACAAAAUUUGUCUUCAAUAGUUGCAAUUCAAACAGCAAUUCAGGUUCUAUUCUCCACAGCCUCAAGCUUCAAAAUUCUUCUCAAAAUCAAAUCUUUUUCUCCAAAACCUAUCAAAUACCAUCAAAAUACAUAUAAGAUCAUAAUCAUAUCCUAAAGAUGAUAUUUAAUACAAAUUAAACAC